This 449-nucleotide ribosomal RNA is filed under the name uncultured bacterium. RNAcentral's name for it is "partial 16S ribosomal RNA". It matches the Rfam family "Bacterial small subunit ribosomal RNA", at positions 29 to 523 of the family's 1533-position model. The record is from RNAcentral.
AGCGAACGCUAGCGGCAGGCCUAACACAUGCAAGUCGAACGAACUCUUCGGAGUUAGUGGCGGACGGGUGAGUAACACGUGGGAACGUGCCUUUAGGUUCGGAAUAACUCAGGGAAGCUUGUGCUAAUACCGAAUGUGCCCUUCGGGGGAAAGAUUUAUCGCCUUUAAAGCGGCCCGCGUCUGAUUAGCUAGUUGGUGAGGUAACGGCUCACCAAGGCGACGAUCAGUAGCUGGUCUGAGAGGAUGGCCAGCCACACUGGGACUGAGACACGGCCCAGACUCCUACGGGAGGCAGCAGUGGGGAAUCUUGCGCAAUGGGCGAAAGCCUGACGCAGCCAUGCCGCGUGAAUGAUGAAGGUCUUAGGAUUGUAAAAUUCUUUCACCGGGGACGAUAAUGACGGUACCCGGAGAAGAAGCCCCGGCUAACUUCGUGCCAGCCGCCGCGGUAA